This 98-nucleotide signal recognition particle RNA is filed under the name Chitinophagaceae bacterium. Its description in RNAcentral is "signal recognition particle sRNA small type". It matches the Rfam family "Bacteroidales small SRP", at positions 9 to 102 of the family's 107-position model. From Rfam's summary of the family: The non-coding component of the signal recognition particle in Bacteroides RNAcentral also lists the same sequence under 1 other name. The record is from RNAcentral. Lineage: Bacteria; Pseudomonadati; Bacteroidota; Chitinophagia; Chitinophagales; Chitinophagaceae.
CGGCAAGUCUUAUACGACCAGCUCCUGCUACUCCUCCAGGGCGGGAACGCAGCAAAGGUACGCGGUUGUAGCGGUGCGAUAUAAGUAACUUGCCAUUU